Non-coding RNA from Triticum aestivum (bread wheat), 135 nucleotides. NCBI's taxonomy places the organism in Eukaryota, Viridiplantae, Streptophyta, Magnoliopsida, Poales, Poaceae. The record is from Rfam.
CUCCUACUUCCUCCGUCCGUAAAUACUUGUCAUCAAAAUGAAUAAAAGGGGGUGUAUCUAGAUAUAUUUUAGUUCGAGAUAUUUCUCUUUUUAUCCAUUUUGAUGAUAAAUAUUUUCGGACGGAGGGAAUACUUC